GAUGAAGAACGCAGCGAAAUGCGAUAAGUAAUGUGAAUUGCAGAAUUCAGUGAAUCAUCGAAUCUUUGAACGCACAUUGCGCCCAUUAGUAUUCUAGUGGGCAUGCCUGUUCGAGCGUCAUUAAGUCCACUUAAGCCCUGCUUAGUGUUGGGAGACUGCUCCAGCGGUGCUACCCUGUAGCUACCCUGCAGCUCCUCAAAGACAGCGGCGGAGUUGUGGUAUCCUCUGAGCUUAGUAACUUGUUCUAGCUUUGGAGUACACCACUUCCCCUGCCGUAAAACCCUUAAUUUUUAAUGGUUGACCUCGGAUCAGGUAGGAAUACCCGCUGAACUUAAGCAUAUCAAUAAGCGGAGGA
RNAcentral lists this unclassified non-coding RNA (355 nucleotides) under soil metagenome. RNAcentral's name for it is "partial contains 5.8S ribosomal RNA, internal transcribed spacer 2, and large subunit ribosomal RNA". The stretch from base 1 to 120 matches the Rfam family "5.8S ribosomal RNA", at positions 35 to 154 of the family's 154-position model. The record is from RNAcentral.